This 97-nucleotide signal recognition particle RNA is filed under the name Gammaproteobacteria bacterium. RNAcentral's name for it is "signal recognition particle sRNA small type". It matches the Rfam family "Bacterial small signal recognition particle RNA". From Rfam's summary of the family: The signal recognition particle (SRP) is a universally conserved ribonucleoprotein involved in the co-translational targeting of proteins to membranes. Archaeal SRP consists of a 7S RNA and homologues of the eukaryotic SRP19 and SRP54 proteins. The record is from RNAcentral. Lineage: Bacteria; Pseudomonadati; Pseudomonadota; Gammaproteobacteria.
UGCUGGUCCCCCCGCGACGAUAAGCUGUGAACCCCGUCAGGCCCGGAAGGGAGCAGCGGCAACAGUGGAUUCGGGCGCCGGGGUGUGGCUGGUACAG